Molecule: RNA transcript, 2073 nt
Organism: Drosophila novamexicana
Lineage: Eukaryota; Metazoa; Arthropoda; Insecta; Diptera; Drosophilidae
Gene: Hrb27C
Gene name: heterogeneous nuclear ribonucleoprotein 27C
Exons: 4
Source: RefSeq, a predicted model, not a curated record
GGCGAGUUUUCUAUCAUAAGUUAGGUUAUAUAUCGUAUGCAUCAAAUCAUACAAUUAUUUAUAAGCUAGUUUUUUAAGGAAAAAACACUUAAAUUUAGUGAAUUUGCAGUGCGAAAUCUUAAAAAACCACAGACGAACACUUGGCACAAACGAAAGUUACGUGUAAACGUCGUGGCUUUUGUUUAAUUAUUUUGAAAAAUAAUAAAAAUAAAAAAAAUAAAAAUAAAAAAAAAACUUUGGCAACUUAAACCAAUCCCAAAACACAAGAAACAACAACAGCAACUAGUGUAAAAUUCAAAGUGUUAACAAGAAGCGACAAAAACCCAAAACAGACACCGACAACAAUUUCAAGUCCACAAGUGCAACAUAAACAGCAGCAAAAUUACGUCAAUUAUUGAAAACCUACCCGGCGCAAUAGCUCACAAUCACCAAAACAACAUCAUGGAAGAAGACGAGAGGGGCAAACUGUUUGUUGGCGGCCUGUCCUGGGAGACAACGCAGGAGAAUCUCUCGCGCUACUUUUGCCGCUUCGGCGACAUUAUUGAUUGUGUCGUUAUGAAGAAUAACGAGAGCGGCAGAUCACGUGGAUUCGGCUUUGUCACCUUCGCCGAUCCCGCUAACGUCAACCAUGUGCUGCAGAGUGGACCGCAUACGCUUGACGGUCGUACCAUCGACCCGAAGCCCUGCAAUCCCCGUACGCUGCAGAAGCCGAAAAAGGGCGGCGGCUACAAGGUGUUCCUCGGCGGUUUGCCAUCGAACGUGACGGAGACCGAUCUGCGCACCUUCUUUGGUCGCUACGGCAAGGUCACCGAGGUGGUCAUCAUGUACGACCAGGAGAAGAAGAAAUCACGUGGAUUUGGUUUCUUGUCCUUUGAGGAGGAGUCCUCUGUGGAGCAUGUCACCAACGAGCGUUACAUUAAUCUAAAUGGCAAGCAGGUGGAAAUUAAGAAAGCGGAGCCACGCGAUGGUUCCGGAGGACAGAACUCGAACAACAGUGCCGUGGGUGGUGCCUAUGGUAAACUGGGUAACGAGUGCAGCCACUGGGGACCGCAUCAUGCGCCCAUUAACAUGAUGCAAGGCCAGAACGGUCAGAUGGGUGGCCCACCAUUGAAUAUGCCAAUUGGUGCACCAAACAUGAUGCCCGGUUAUCAGGGCUGGGGCACAUCGCCUCAGCAGCAGGGCUAUGGUUAUGGCAAUAGCGGUCCGGGCUCGUAUCAGGGCUGGGGCGCACCACCUGGCCCCCAAGGACCACCACCGCAAUGGUCGAACUAUGCUGGACCACAGCAGACCCAGGGAUAUGGCGGCUACGAUAUGUACAACUCGACUUCGACCGGAGCCCCAUCGGGACCUUCGGGCGGCGGCAGCUGGAACACGUGGAAUAUGCCACCAAAUUCAGCUGGGCCAACUGGGGCACCGGGUGCUGGCGCUGGCACCGCCACGGACAUGUAUUCGCGUGCCCAGACCUGGGCAGCUGGCGGACCAUCGACCACCGGACCCGUGGGCGGCAUGCCGCGCACUGGACCAGGCAACUCGGCCUCCAAAUCGGGCUCCGAGUACGAUUAUGGCGGCUAUGGAUCCGGCUACGAUUACGAUUAUAGCAAUUAUGUUAAGCAGGAGGGCGCCUCCAACUACGGCGCCGGCCCGCGGUCAGCGUACGGCAACGACAGCUCUACACAGCCUCCGUAUGCCGCCUCGCAGGCCGUCUAAAAAGCCAGAUCGUGCGUGUUGUCGUCUCGUGUCAUCCCGCGUGGCCCCAUGAGCAGGCAGCAAGCGAGCAACAACAACAAUAACAACAACAGCAGCAGCAGCAACAGCAGUUAUGCAAGCAAAAUGCUGCUGUACAACAACAACAACGUAUCAGGCUUAACGUAGACAUUUAACGGUUAUAUAUGCACAUGCAUGCAUACAUGUGUAUAUUUAUGAAUAUAUAUAUAUGUGCGUGUGUUUGUAAAACAUGCAAGAACAAGCAGAAAGCGCAGACAACAACAAGAAAACAACCAAUUGAAUGAAGGCAAAUCGUGUUGGUCAAAAAAUGCAGUUAAACAACAAAAAUAGCAAAAAAAAAAAAAAAAA